This 1515-nucleotide ribosomal RNA is filed under the name Salmonella enterica. Its description in RNAcentral is "partial 23S ribosomal RNA". It matches the Rfam family "Bacterial large subunit ribosomal RNA", at positions 1304 to 2802 of the family's 2925-position model. The record is from RNAcentral. Lineage: Bacteria; Pseudomonadati; Pseudomonadota; Gammaproteobacteria; Enterobacterales; Enterobacteriaceae.
AAGUAACGAUAAAGCGGGUGAAAAGCCCGCUCGCCGGAAGACCAAGGGUUCCUGUCCAACGUUAAUCGGGGCAGGGUGAGUCGACCCCUAAGGCGAGGCCGAAAGGCGUAGUCGAUGGGAAACGGGUUAAUAUUCCCGUACUUGGUGUUACUGCGAAGGGGGGACGGAGAAGGCUAUGUUGGCCGGGCGACGGUUGUCCCGGUUUAAGCGUGUAGGUGUGUGUUCCAGGUAAAUCCGGUUCACUUUAACACUGAGGCGUGAUGACGAGGCACUACGGUGCUGAAGCAACAAAUGCCCUGCUUCCAGGAAAAGCCUCUAAGCAUCAGGUAACAUCAAAUCGUACCCCAAACCGACACAGGUGGUCAGGUAGAGAAUACCAAGGCGCUUGAGAGAACUCGGGUGAAGGAACUAGGCAAAAUGGUGCCGUAACUUCGGGAGAAGGCACGCUGACACGUAGGUGAAGUGAUUUACUCAUGGAGCUGAAGUCAGUCGAAGAUACCAGCUGGCUGCAACUGUUUAUUAAAAACACAGCACUGUGCAAACACGAAAGUGGACGUAUACGGUGUGACGCCUGCCCGGUGCCGGAAGGUUAAUUGAUGGGGUCAGCGCAAGCGAAGCUCCUGAUCGAAGCCCCGGUAAACGGCGGCCGUAACUAUAACGGUCCUAAGGUAGCGAAAUUCCUUGUCGGGUAAGUUCCGACCUGCACGAAUGGCGUAAUGAUGGCCAGGCUGUCUCCACCCGAGACUCAGUGAAAUUGAACUCGCUGUGAAGAUGCAGUGUACCCGCGGCAAGACGGAAAGACCCCGUGAACCUUUACUAUAGCUUGACACUGAACAUUGAGCCUUGAUGUGUAGGAUAGGUGGGAGGCUUUGAAGUGUGGACGCCAGUCUGCAUGGAGCCGACCUUGAAAUACCACCCUUUAAUGUUUGAUGUUCUAACGUGGACCCGUAAUCCGGGUUGCGGACAGUGUCUGGUGGGUAGUUUGACUGGGGCGGUCUCCUCCUAAAGAGUAACGGAGGAGCACGAAGGUUGGCUAAUCCUGGUCGGACAUCAGGAGGUUAGUGCAAUGGCAUAAGCCAGCUUGACUGCGAGCGUGACGGCGCGAGCAGGUGCGAAAGCAGGUCAUAGUGAUCCGGUGGUUCUGAAUGGAAGGGCCAUCGCUCAACGGAUAAAAGGUACUCCGGGGAUAACAGGCUGAUACCGCCCAAGAGUUCAUAUCGACGGCGGUGUUUGGCACCUCGAUGUCGGCUCAUCACAUCCUGGGGCUGAAGUAGGUCCCAAGGGUAUGGCUGUUCGCCAUUUAAAGUGGUACGCGAGCUGGGUUUAGAACGUCGUGAGACAGUUCGGUCCCUAUCUGCCGUGGGCGCUGGAGAACUGAGGGGGGCUGCUCCUAGUACGAGAGGACCGGAGUGGACGCAUCACUGGUGUUCGGGUUGUCAUGCCAAUGGCACUGCCCGGUAGCUAAAUGCGGAAGAGAUAAGUGCUGAAAGCAUCUAAGCACGAAACUUGCCCCGA